UACGUAGGGCGCAAGCGUUGUCCGGAAUUAUUGGGCGUAAAGAGCUCGUAGGCGGCUUGUCACGUCGAUUGUGAAAGCCCGAGGCUUAACCUCGGGUCUGCAGUCGAUACGGGCUAGCUAGAGUGUGGUAGGGGAGAUCGGAAUUCCUGGUGUAGCGGUGAAAUGCGCAGAUAUCAGGAGGAACACCGGUGGCGAAGGCGGGUUUGCUGGGCUGAUACUGACGCUGAGGCGCGAAAGCCAGGGGAGCGAACGGGGAUUAGAAAACCC
Molecule: ribosomal RNA, 267 nt
Filed under: uncultured bacterium
Lineage: Bacteria
Description: partial 16S ribosomal RNA
Rfam family: Bacterial small subunit ribosomal RNA
Source: RNAcentral